This 648-nucleotide long non-coding RNA is filed under the name Macaca mulatta (Rhesus monkey). RNAcentral describes it as "lncRNA (ENSMMUG00000065083.1)". Lineage: Eukaryota; Metazoa; Chordata; Mammalia; Primates; Cercopithecidae. The record is from RNAcentral.
AAAAGAAGGAAGACUUGAAUAUGUUUCCAGGCUAUGUUAAAGGAGCUGAUGUAUUAGCAGAGAUUUAAGAUAUUUUGUGAAGCAAGAUCAUGGAGAAGGCAGAAAUGUAGGCCAGAGAAAAUGCACGAAUAAAGAUUGAAUGCUUCUUUCUUCAAUAAAAGAAAGGCAGAAGAUGAGGAUGAUUGAGGGUGGAGAUGGGAUUUUAAUUGGAAAACCAUUAUCAGAAAGACCAUCAUCUCACCAUAUUCAGAAAGUGAGAUAAGAUGAAGACCUAUGGAGGCUACACUACUUCAACAGCUGCUGCUGGGAUUGGGAUGAAAGCUGCUUACUGACCCAUGAAAAGGUUAGUGCACAGUUCUAAAGGCCUAACUGAUGCUGGAAUUACUUAAUUACUUUGGCUUGAAAUCAGUUUUUCUUUAACACUAUCUGGUUAUAAAAAUGGUUCAAAUGUAUGAUGAAAGUAUUUUUAGGGUUAAAAUAUUUUUAAAGUGAUUUGUUAAAAUUUUCGGUGCUAAUAAAUUUGAGGGAGUUGAUGAGAAUAUAUUUAAAAUAUGCAUUUGGCCAACUUCUCCAAACCUUCCUCCCACCCAGCUCCUGGAAAUCACCAUUAACGUCUGCCUCUAUGAGCUCAACUUUUUUGGAUUCCAC